RNAcentral lists this ribosomal RNA (311 nucleotides) under Birgus latro. Its description in RNAcentral is "partial 16S ribosomal RNA". It matches the Rfam family "Bacterial large subunit ribosomal RNA", at positions 1796 to 2280 of the family's 2925-position model. Lineage: Eukaryota; Metazoa; Arthropoda; Malacostraca; Decapoda; Coenobitidae. The record is from RNAcentral.
UCGCCUGUUUAACAAAAACAUGUCUUUGUGAAGAUUUACAAAGUCUGGCCUGCCCACUGAUUAAUUAAAGGGCCGCGGUAUUUCUGACCGUGCGAAGGUAGCAUAAUCAUUAGUCUUUUAAUUGAAGGCUUGUAUGAAAGGUCGAACGAGUGAUAAGCUGUCUCGAAAAAAAUGUUGAAUUUAACUUUAAAGUGAAAAGGCUUUAAUGCUCUAGAAAGACGAUAAGACCCUAUAAAUCUUUACAUUUAAUUUUGUAUCAGGCUAGUUUGUUAGUGAAAGAAGAGGUACAAGGAGAAGUGUUUUGUUGGGGC